AUGUCUCAAGAUAGCCAUGCAUGUCUAAGUAUAAAUACUUCUACUUUGAAACUGCGAAUGGCUCAUUAUAUCAGUUAUAAUUUAUUUGAUAGUCCCUUACUACUUGGAUAACCGUAGUAAUUCUAGAGCUAAUACAUGCAUCAAUACCCAACCGUUCGCGGACGGGUAGCUUUUAUUAAAUAGAAACCAACCCUCUUCGGAGAUGCUUUGGUGAUUCAUAAUAACCUUGCGAAACGCAUGGGGUCGUGCCCGCGAAGGAAUAAUUCAGUUUUUGACCUCACCGCUUUUGUAGGAAAGGGAUUGGGACUCCCUGGCAUUUAACGGGAACGAAAUUGUAGGGGCCGGAUUUCGCCAAGGGAGCCUGAAAGACGGAUCCCCCAUCCACGGAAGGGGGGGGGGCGCCCCCACUUACCCCAUCCUGACCCGGGGAGGGAGGGACAGUAAAAAAACAAUACCGGGCCCCACAUCGUCUGGCCUGGAAUGAUGAAAAUAAUACACAU
RNAcentral lists this ribosomal RNA (500 nucleotides) under uncultured diatom. RNAcentral's name for it is "partial 18S ribosomal RNA". It matches the Rfam family "Eukaryotic small subunit ribosomal RNA", at positions 34 to 524 of the family's 1831-position model. The record is from RNAcentral. Lineage: Eukaryota; Bacillariophyta.